UCAACUCUUUGGACUGUUUGAAGAAACUGUGGAGCUGUGACUCAUCAGGAAACAACUCAUCUGAGUUGUUCCACGUCGACAUUUUGGACUGUGUGAAGAAACUCCCUUCCUGCCUGCUUCCUGACAAGUGGAGCUG
Sander lucioperca (pikeperch) is the source of this 136-nucleotide long non-coding RNA. RefSeq lists it as uncharacterized. The transcript is spliced from 3 exons. Lineage: Eukaryota; Metazoa; Chordata; Actinopteri; Perciformes; Percidae. The record is from RefSeq and is a predicted model, not a curated record.